RNAcentral lists this ribosomal RNA (492 nucleotides) under uncultured bacterium. Its description in RNAcentral is "partial 16S ribosomal RNA". It matches the Rfam family "Bacterial small subunit ribosomal RNA", at positions 29 to 507 of the family's 1533-position model. The record is from RNAcentral.
AGUGAACGCUGGCGGUAGGCCUAACACAUGCAAGUCGAACGGCAGCACAGUGAGAGCUCGCUCUUACGGGUGGCGAGUGGCGGACGGGUGAGGAAUACAUCGGAAUCUACUUUUUCGUGGGGGAUAACGUAGGGAAACUUACGCUAAUACCGCAUACGACCUACGGGUGAAAGCAGGGGAUCUUCGUACCUUGCGCGAUUGAAUGAGCCGAUGUCGGAUUAGCUAGUUGGCGGGGUAAAGGCCCACCAAGGCGACGAUCCGUAGCUGGUCUGAGAGGAUGAUCAGCCACACUGGAACUGAGACACGGUCCAGACUCCUACGGGAGGCAGCAGUGGGGAAUAUUGGACAAUGGGCGCAAGCCUGAUCCAGCCAUACCGCGUGGGUGAAGAAGGCCUUCGGGUUUUAAAGCCCUUUUGUUGGGAAAGAAAAGCAGCAGGUUAAUACCCCGCUGUUCUGACGGUACCCAAAGAAUAAGCACCGGCUAACUUCGUG